RNAcentral lists this unclassified non-coding RNA (243 nucleotides) under Glomus sp. Its description in RNAcentral is "partial contains 5.8S ribosomal RNA and internal transcribed spacer 2". The stretch from base 1 to 65 matches the Rfam family "5.8S ribosomal RNA", at positions 84 to 154 of the family's 154-position model. Lineage: Eukaryota; Fungi; Glomeromycota; Glomeromycetes; Glomerales; Glomeraceae. The record is from RNAcentral.
GUGAAUCAUCAAAUUUUUGAACGCAAAUUGCACUCUCUUCGGAGAGUAUGCCUGUUUGAGGGUCAGCCUAAAAAAAAUCGACAUAGUUGCUGUUACGCGGUAACACUCGUCGGAAAUUGGGUUAUCUUAAACUUUUGGGUUUAAGCCGCUUAAAAUUUUCUUUACGAGUCUAAGAACGUUACUAAGAUUUUAUUUUCUUUUACGUUUAAGUUAUGGAUCUUUAUUAGACGUAGCCGUUGAAUC